GACGAACGCUGGCGGCGUGGAUUAGGCAUGCAAGUCGAACGGUAUCAUCCUUUCGGGGGUGAGAGAGUGGCGAACUGGUGAGUAACACGUAGGUUAUCUACCCUCAAGACGGGGACAACCCAGGGAAACUUGGGCUAAUACCGGAUGUGAGCAACUUUUAGUUGUUUGAAAGGUGGCGUAAGCUGUCGCUUGGGGAUGAGCCUGCGUCCUAUUAGUUAGUUGGUGAGGUAACGGCUCACCUAGGCAAUGAUAGGUAGGCGGCCUUAACGGGUGGUCGCCCACACUGGGAUUGAGAUACGGCCCAGACUCCUACGGGAGGCAGCAGUCGAGAAUAGUCUACAAUGGUCGGAAGACUGAUAGUGCGACGCCGCGUGAACGAUGAAUCCCUUCGGGGUGUAAAGUUCUUUUAUAUGUGAGCAGUGCUUCUUAUAUUAACAGUAUGGGGAGAGAGAUAUUAGCAUAUGAAUAAGCAACGGCUAACUCCGUGCCAGCAGCCGCGGUAAUUU
This 506-nucleotide ribosomal RNA is filed under the name uncultured bacterium. Its description in RNAcentral is "bacterial SSU rRNA". It matches the Rfam family "Bacterial small subunit ribosomal RNA", at positions 28 to 526 of the family's 1533-position model. The record is from RNAcentral.